UGUAAGCGUAUACCAAAGUUGUUGCAGUUAAAACGCUCGUAGUCGGAAUUUGGCAGUUCCGGAUGUGUGCACGUCGUGUGCGCACUUCGCGGGGAUUGAUUUUGUGGUCUUGCGUAGGAUGAGGCACUUUUAUUAGUGAACGUCCUCACGCAACCACUUUUUACUGUGAGAAAAUCAGAGUGCUCAAAGCAGGCAUUUGCCGUGAAUGUAUUAGCAUGGAAUAAUAGAAUAGGACUUGGUUCUAUUUUGUUGGUUUGUUGGGACUGAGUAAUGAUUAAGAGGGACAGUUGGGGGCAUUUGUAUUUCGGUGCUAGAGGUGAAAUUCUUAGAUUACCGAAAGACAAACUGCUGCGAAAGCGUCUGCCAAGGAUGUUUUCAUUGA
This 382-nucleotide ribosomal RNA is filed under the name uncultured eukaryote. RNAcentral's name for it is "partial 18S ribosomal RNA". It matches the Rfam family "Eukaryotic small subunit ribosomal RNA", at positions 592 to 976 of the family's 1831-position model. The record is from RNAcentral.